RNAcentral lists this non-coding RNA (422 nucleotides) under Helianthus annuus (common sunflower). RNAcentral describes it as "Group I catalytic intron". It matches the Rfam family "Group I catalytic intron". Rfam says of the family: Group I catalytic introns are large self-splicing ribozymes. They catalyse their own excision from mRNA, tRNA and rRNA precursors in a wide range of organisms. The record is from RNAcentral. Lineage: Eukaryota; Viridiplantae; Streptophyta; Magnoliopsida; Asterales; Asteraceae.
CUACGGACUUAAUUGGAUUGAGCCUUGGUAUGGAAACUUACUAAGUGAUAACUUUCAAAUUCAGAGAAACCCUGGAAUUAAUAAAAAUGGGCAAUCCUGAGCCAAAUCACGUUUUCCGAAAACAAACAAAGGUUCAGAAAGCGAAAAUAAAAAAGGAUAGGUGCAGAGACUCGAUGGAAGCUGUUCUAACGAAUGGAGUUGAUUGUCUUACAUUGGUAGAGGAAUCCUUCUAUCGAAACUUCAGAAAAGAGGAAGGAUAAACCUGUAUACAUUGAAGAAUUGGUAUGAAUCGAUUUCAUAUUGAAGAAAGAAUCAAAUAUUCACUGAUCAAAGCAUUCACGCAUAAUCUGAUAGAUCUUUUGAAUAACUGAUGAAAUCGGACGAGAAUAAAGAUAGAGUCCCGUUCUACAUGUCAAUACCGG